AUCAAAUCGCCUUAAAAAGCGAAUUAGGCUGGUGAUGACGCCGCGCUGCAUUUAUAAGCAAACGCUGCUCCUGGGCGCGCGGAUGUAAUAUUCUCCUUCCGUCGGAUCAACGAUGAAGUCACUCGCUUCGAUUGUCCUGAUGAUUGUGUUGGUGUUGGGAGCUUUUAUGGUCCGUGAAAGCCAUUCGAUCGGAUAUCGUUUAUCCUCGCCUCACGGCCGUUCUCAGCAACGUCAUGGAUCUGACAAUUAUCCUUCGGAAUAUUUCAGUGCCGGAAGAGAACUGGAGAGGCCAUCGGAAAACAUUGACAACCUGAUGUUUUAAGCGUCCUAGAAAUGACCAUAUCCGUAGUGAACUGGAUUAUAAUUACCGUAAACUUCGUAUUACCCACGCAAUUUGAUUGAAUUUCCCCACUGUAUCCAUCCAAUAGCCGCCAUUUGAUUGUACAUCCUUUGAAAUAAACACGGAAAGACAAUACAACCUCAAGGUCUAGUUGAUUUGGCAAAGAAAACCCGUUGAAGGGCGUUGUCUCGUUGCACAUACCGAGAUGGGGGAAGAAGACAUGCUAUAAUAAACCAGAAGUUCUCAACAAGCCAACUUUAGUAGAUGCUCAGAAUUCAGCCAGUUCUGACUAGUAAAAAAAUGAAGAUUGCCCUAGCAACAACAUUCUUGGCGAUACUUUUGUUGGGAGUCGGGAUCGUCGAAGCUGCUCCCAUUUCGAUCCAUCCGUAUUUGUCAUUCCGGACGUAUGGAAUCCAGCCGCAUUUUCAACCAUAUUAUCGUGUCACCAUGCCUCAUCAGCAGCAAAAUCAAAUUUAUUCAAUGGAAUAUUAUGGAGCCAGGGAUCCAUUCGAGAACAGGCCAAUCCCGAGACCACAUUGAAAUGUUUGUUUUAGACGUACCGGUUACGAUUUAGCGUUUGUUAUUGCAGUGCUUCCUUUUUUAGUUAAUUGCAGUGGUUGGAGAAUUACUAAGGGCAAAUCAGUUUCUGUUUCAAUCAAUAAUUUACCUGAAAUAGACAAAUGAAUCACGA
Daphnia pulex (common water flea) is the source of this 1031-nucleotide long non-coding RNA. RefSeq lists it as uncharacterized. The transcript is spliced from 3 exons. NCBI's taxonomy places the organism in Eukaryota, Metazoa, Arthropoda, Branchiopoda, Diplostraca, Daphniidae. The record is from RefSeq and is a predicted model, not a curated record.